RNAcentral lists this ribosomal RNA (301 nucleotides) under uncultured bacterium. RNAcentral describes it as "partial 16S ribosomal RNA". It matches the Rfam family "Bacterial small subunit ribosomal RNA", at positions 509 to 807 of the family's 1533-position model. The record is from RNAcentral.
CAGCCGCCGCGGUAAUACGAGGGGUGCAAGCGUUAUUCGGAUUGAUUGGGUGUAAAAGGUGUGCAGACGGCUUAUUAAGUCACUUGUUAAAUUCUUCGGCCUAACUGAAGGUCUGCAAGUGAUACUAAUGAGCUAGAGGGUGGAAGAGAGAAGUGGAAUUCUCGGAGUAGCGGUAAAAUGCGUAGAUCUCGAGAGGAACACCAAUGGCGAAGGCAGCUUCUUGGUCCAUUCCUGACGUUCAUACACGAAAGCGUGGGGAGCAAACAGGAUUAGAUACCCCGGUAGUCCCUGUCUCUUAUAC